Molecule: ribosomal RNA, 253 nt
Filed under: uncultured bacterium
Lineage: Bacteria
Description: partial 16S ribosomal RNA
Rfam family: Bacterial small subunit ribosomal RNA
Source: RNAcentral
UACGGGGGGGGCAAGCGUUGUUCGGAAUUACUGGGCGUAAAGGGCUCGUAGGCGGCCAACUAAGUCAGACGUGAAAUCCCUCAGCUUAACUGGGGAACUGCGUCUGAUACUGGAUGGCUUGGAUCCGGGAGAGGGAUGUGGAAUUCCUGGUGUAGCGGUGAAAUGCGCAGAUAUCAGGAAGAACACCCGUGGCGAAGGCGGCUCUCUGGGACGGUACUGACGCUGAGACGCGAAAGCGUGGGGAGCGAACAGG